Molecule: ribosomal RNA, 484 nt
Filed under: uncultured Flavobacteriaceae bacterium
Lineage: Bacteria; Pseudomonadati; Bacteroidota; Flavobacteriia; Flavobacteriales; Flavobacteriaceae
Description: bacterial SSU rRNA
Rfam family: Bacterial small subunit ribosomal RNA
Source: RNAcentral
GAUGAACGCUAGCGGCAGGCUUAACACAUGCAAGUCGAGGGGUAACAGGGAUUGCUUGCAAUCCGCUGACGACCGGCGCACGGGUGCGUAACGCGUAUAGAACCUACCUUUUACUGAGGGAUAGCCUUUAGAAAUGAAGAUUAAUACCUCAUGGCAUCAUUGAUUGGCAUCGAUUAAUGAUUAAAGAUUUAUUGGUAAAAGAUGGCUAUGCGUCCUAUUAGUUAGAUGGUGAGGUAACGGCUCACCAUGGCAGCGAUAGGUAGGGGUCCUGAGAGGGAGACCCCCCACACUGGUACUGAGACACGGACCAGACUCCUACGGGAGGCAGCAGUGAGGAAUAUUGGGCAAUGGAGGCAACUCUGACCCAGCCAUGCCGCGUGCAGGAAGACGGCCCUAUGGGUUGUAAACUGCUUUUAUACGGGAAGAAACACUCCUACGUGUAGGGGCUUGACGGUACCGUAAGAAUAAGCACCGGCUAACUCCG